AAAAGUGCUCUCACCCGCGUAAAAGAGAGCACAC
Molecule: small RNA, 34 nt
Filed under: Anaerobutyricum hallii
Lineage: Bacteria; Bacillati; Bacillota; Clostridia; Lachnospirales; Lachnospiraceae
Description: CRISPR_Spacer
Source: RNAcentral